RNAcentral lists this ribosomal RNA (116 nucleotides) under Actinomadura madurae. The record is from RNAcentral. Lineage: Bacteria; Bacillati; Actinomycetota; Actinomycetes; Streptosporangiales; Thermomonosporaceae.
CGGUGGUUUUGGCGAGGGGGAAACACCCGGUCCCAUUCCGAACCCGGAAGUUAAGCCUCUCAGCGCCGAUGGUACUGCAUGGGAGACUGUGUGGGAGAGUAGGACACCGCCGGACU